This 182-nucleotide non-coding RNA is filed under the name Buceros rhinoceros silvestris. Its description in RNAcentral is "Eukaryotic large subunit ribosomal RNA". It matches the Rfam family "Eukaryotic large subunit ribosomal RNA", at positions 2621 to 2802 of the family's 3401-position model. The record is from Rfam by way of RNAcentral. Lineage: Eukaryota; Metazoa; Chordata; Aves; Bucerotiformes; Bucerotidae.
UUGACUGGGGCGGUACACCUGUCAAAGCGUAACGCAGGUGUCCUAAGGCGAGCUCAGGGAGGACGGAAACCUCCCGUGGAGCAGAAGGGCAAAAGCUCGCUUGAUCUUGAUUUUCAGUACGAAUACAGACCGUGAAAGCGGGGCCUCACGAUCCUUCUGGCUUUUUGGGUUUUAAGCAGGAG